Molecule: ribosomal RNA, 223 nt
Filed under: uncultured bacterium
Lineage: Bacteria
Description: partial 16S ribosomal RNA
Rfam family: Bacterial small subunit ribosomal RNA
Source: RNAcentral
UGGAUCAUCUACCUUCAGGUGGGGGAUAACCCGGGGGAAACUCGGGCUAAUACCGCAUAACAUCGCGAGAUCAAAGGGGCGCAAGUCCCGCCAGAAGAGGAGUCCGCGUUCGAUUAGCUAGUUGGUAGGGUAAUGGCCAACCAAGGCCACGAUCGAUAACCGGCCUGAGAGGGUGACCGGCCACACUGGGACUGAGACACGGCCCAGACUCCUACGGAGGCAG